GUGCUUCCUUCAGCAGCACAUAUACUAAAAUUGAAACAAUACAGAGAUUAGCGUGGCCCCUACACAAGGAUGACAUGCAAAUUUGUGAAGCAUUUCAUAUAUAA
RNAcentral lists this small nuclear RNA (104 nucleotides) under Cercocebus atys (sooty mangabey). The record is from RNAcentral. Lineage: Eukaryota; Metazoa; Chordata; Mammalia; Primates; Cercopithecidae.